AUUGAACGCUGGCGGCAGGCCUAACACAUGCAAGUCGAGCGGAUGAAGGGAGCUUGCUCCUGGAUUCAGCGGCGGACGGGUGAGUAAUGCCUAGGAAUCUGCCUGGUAGUGGGGGAUAACGUCCGGAAACGGGCGCUAAUACCGCAUACGUCCGAGGGGGGAAGUGGGGGGUCCUCCGACCCUAACCCUAUCGGUUAACCCUAGGUCGGAUUAGCUAGUUGGUGGGGUAAAGGCCUACCAAGGCGACGAUCCGUAACUGGUCUGAGAGGAUGAUCAGUCACACUGGAACUGAGACACGGUCCAGACUCCUACGGGAGGCAGCAGUGGGGAAUAUUGGACAAUGGGCGAAAGCCUGAUCCAGCCAUGCCGCGUGUGUGAAGAAGGUCUUCGGAUUGUAAAGCACUUUAAGUUGGGAGGAAGGGCAGUAAGUUAAUACCUUGCUGUUUUGACGUUACCAACAGAAUAAGCACCGGCUAACUUCGUG
Molecule: ribosomal RNA, 484 nt
Filed under: uncultured bacterium
Lineage: Bacteria
Description: partial 16S ribosomal RNA
Rfam family: Bacterial small subunit ribosomal RNA
Source: RNAcentral